Molecule: small RNA, 140 nt
Filed under: Marmota monax (woodchuck)
Lineage: Eukaryota; Metazoa; Chordata; Mammalia; Rodentia; Sciuridae
Source: RNAcentral
CAGAUAAGAUGAAAAGAAGAAAAAUGAUCAUGUAUAAUCUCACUACUAAUAUUUUGGAAUAAUUUACCCUUUUAAGUAGCCUGCAUGUGUGUGUGAGUGUGUGUGUGUGUGUGUGUUUGCAAAUACAGAUGAAUGUCUCA